Molecule: long non-coding RNA, 2117 nt
Filed under: Ananas comosus (pineapple)
Lineage: Eukaryota; Viridiplantae; Streptophyta; Magnoliopsida; Poales; Bromeliaceae
Description: long non-coding RNA (ACOM_LNC038842)
Source: RNAcentral
UCUCCCUCACACUUGCAACCAAAGAGAAAUAUCUCUCUCUCUCUAACAAUUUCUCCACCAAAGAGAGGAAUUGGAGGUGCAUUUGGAGAAGAAAAAGGUUGCUUGGAGGUGAAGUCUUCAUCCUCUUCAUUACUGGGUUUGAGGAAAAGCUUGUGUUUGAGGUGCCUAAACGCGUGUGAAGCGUCGGUUCGUCGAUUCGUCGAGCAGGUGCGACCGAAGAGUAAAGCGGCGACUAGGGAAGUGCAAUUGAGAACCUAGCCUCGUGAUAGCGGUAAAAGGUGGGGGGUGUCCAUCCGAAGCAAUCGGGCUUCCUUCUAUGUCCGAGUUAGAUUUUUGGUCAUACUGCACAUAUGGUUCUUAUGCAUUAUAGGAUGUAUGUAUAGUUGCAUUUCUAUUUCCUUGCAUGCAUGUCUAGUUGUGUAGUAUUAUGGACUUAACACUUAAAUCUAGAAUGCAUGAGGAUUAGGGUUUAUGACAUGAGAUCCUAUAGUGAUAAGAAAAUGGUAAACUCGGACUUGAUGAUGAAAACUAGUGACAUGCGAACUAGUGUAUAGAAAACACUAUGACUUGGACGAGUAGCAUGUAAACAAUGAUAACAACAUGACGAGUGGCAUUGGAACUUAGUGUAAUAGAAACACUUGUGACAUUUGAGCAUAGGGAAUAGGUAAGUUUCCCUAGUCAUGGCAUAUUGCAUGAGAACUAGUGUAAUUGAGACACUAUGGCAUCAAACAUAGGGAUAGUUCAAUUCCCUAGUGUGAGUUGAUUAGUGUGGUUGAGACACUUGACAUGAACCUAGGGAUAGGUGGAUUUUCGAGUGUUUGUUAACCUAGUUGACAGGGUAUCCUCAGUUGGUGAGGAUUGGAUCAUACUCACAAGUCUGUUUUGAGCUUGUGAUGGUCGCUCCACACAAGCAGUGCACUCCGGAGUUGUCAAACGAGCUGGGUAGCUCACGAGCGGGGUAGCUCACUGGGUGGGAUACGAGCGGGGUAGCUCCUCACCCAUUGCCGGAGUUGUCACACGAGCGGGGUAGCUCAUGAGCGGGGUAGCUCAUCGGGUGGGAUACGAGCGGGGUAGCUCCUCACCCAUUGGACUGGGACGUGAGUUGGGGCGAAGGGCGGGGUAGCUUUUCCCCUAUGAGAUUGAGCGGGGCAGCUCAAUAUCUAUGAGAUUAACACGGGGUAGCUCUUCAUCUAUUACCUUUGAGAUGUGAGACGGGUGAGAUAAGAGCGGGGUAGCUCCUCACCUAUGAGAUUUGAGAUAUCAGUCAGGGCGAAGAGCGGGGUAGCUCUUCACCUCUUCAUCUACUAGAUUGUGGUGAGUACCUAUGAGAUUUGAGAUCUUAGGCGGGGUAGCCUAGUGGAUUGGGUAAUGAUAUGAAUAGCAUAAGUGGAUUUGCAUUCAUCCCCUGAUUAGACAUAGUAUAUGUUAGUGGAUUGCAUAACUAUAUUGUAUUUGUUUUCAUUAUAUUGUUGAAGGAUAUUAUCAUGAUAGUAGGCUUAUUGCUAGACGAUAUUUCAUGCAUUGCUUGCAUUUGAUGGCACAAUAGAUCAUAGUUGCAGUUCAAUAUCUAUCUAUCUAUUUGUGCCAGCUUAGACCUAGUGGAAAACCGGCGGCGUCGGCGGCCGAACCCACUGGGAACUAUAUUUAUAUAGUUCUCACCCCGUGUGGUUUUGGGGUACAGGUACACAUAGAGGCGAGCCGAGCGAGGACCGCGGCAAGGGCAUAGCGCCCUAAGUGAGCCUAGUUAGUAGCUUUUCCUUAUGCAUUAAAGUACCCUCGUGUACUAGUUGAUAUUUUGGAUAGAUAUCAGAGAGCUACUUGUAUUUUGAAGAAAACAUGUACUUACAUUUUGGAAGAUGAAAAUAUAAUAUAUUCAAAUAAUGUAAAUGUUGAAUGAUUGUGAUAGUUAGACUAUCUCUCUUUAUACACUUGUAUAUCACUUGUGGUUCUUGCUCUUAGAUGUAUUGCACUUGUGUGCAUCGUAUUUGAUCAUGUAUGUUAUUUAAGCAAAUUCCUGGGUGCUUAAUUGUACAUGAUCUGGUUGCUUGGCCUUGGGCGGACAGGAGAGGUACUGUCCGUUCGGCGGUCCGUCUGAUGUGCCCGAACCGUGCCAAAUU